Molecule: small RNA, 28 nt
Filed under: Bombyx mori (domestic silkworm)
Lineage: Eukaryota; Metazoa; Arthropoda; Insecta; Lepidoptera; Bombycidae
Description: ovarian small RNA-5963
Source: RNAcentral
UACAGUUUACGCCUGUCCGGGUAGAUGC